GAUGAACGCUGGCGGCGUGCCUAAUACAUGCAAGUCGAGCGAACAGACGAGGAGCUUGCUCCUCUGACGUUAGCGGCGGACGGGUGAGUAACACGUGGAUAACCUACCUAUAAGACUGGGAUAACUUCGGGAAACCGGAGCUAAUACCGGAUAAUAUAUUGAACCGCAUGGUUCAAUAGUGAAAGACGGUUUUGCUGUCACUUAUAGAUGGAUCCGCGCCGCAUUAGCUAGUUGGUAAGGUAACGGCUUACCAAGGCAACGAUGCGUAGCCGACCUGAGAGGGUGAUCGGCCACCCUGAAACUGGGACACGGUCCAGACUCCUACGGAAGGCAGCAGUAGGGAAUCUUCCGCAAUGGGCGAAAGCUUGACGGAGCAACGCCGCGUGAGUGAUGAAGGUCUUCGGAUCGUAAAACUCUGUUAUUAGGGAAGAACAAAUGUGUAAGUAACUAUGCACGUCUUGACGGUACCAAACCAGAAAGCCACGGCUAACUACGU
Molecule: ribosomal RNA, 496 nt
Filed under: uncultured bacterium
Lineage: Bacteria
Description: partial 16S ribosomal RNA
Rfam family: Bacterial small subunit ribosomal RNA
Source: RNAcentral